This 401-nucleotide ribosomal RNA is filed under the name uncultured bacterium. RNAcentral describes it as "bacterial SSU rRNA". It matches the Rfam family "Bacterial small subunit ribosomal RNA", at positions 975 to 1375 of the family's 1533-position model. The record is from RNAcentral.
CAGGUCUUGACAUCCUCUGACAACCCUAGAGAUAGGGCUUUCCCCUUCGGGGGACAGAGUGACAGGUGGUGCAUGGUUGUCGUCAGCUCGUGUCGUGAGAUGUUGGGUUAAGUCCCGCAACGAGCGCAACCCUUGAUCUUAGUUGCCAGCAUUCAGUUGGGCACUCUAAGGUGACUGCCGGUGACAAACCGGAGGAAGGUGGGGAUGACGUCAAAUCAUCAUGCCCCUUAUGGCCUGGGCUACACACGUGCUACAAUGGAUGGAACAAAGGGAAGCAAAACCGCGAGGUCAAGCAAAUCCCAUAAAACCAUUCUCAGUUCGGAUUGCAGGCUGCAACUCGCCUGCAUGAAGCUGGAAUCGCUAGUAAUCGCGGAUCAGCAUGCCGCGGUGAAUACGUUCCC